GGUAUAGACCCGAAACCCGGUGAUCUAGCCAUGGGCAGGUUGAAGGUUGGGUAACACUAACUGGAGGACCGAACCGACUAAUGUUGAAAAAUUAGCGGAUGACUUGUGGCUGGGGGUGAAAGGCCAAUCAAACCGGGAGAUAGCUGGUUCUCCCCGAAAGCUAUUUAGGUAGCGCCUCGUGAAUUCAUCUCCGGGGGUAGAGCACUGUUUCGGCAAGGGGGUCAUCCCGACUUACCAACCCGAUGCAAACUGCGAAUACCGGAGAAUGUUAUCACGGGAGACACACGGCGGGUGCUAACGUCCGUCGUGAAGAGGGAAACAACCCAGACCGCCAGCUAAGGUCCCAAAGUCAUGGUUAAGUGGGAAACGAUGUGGGAAGGCCCAGACAGCCAGGAUGUUGGCUUAGAAGCAGCCAUCAUUUAAAGAAAGCGUAAUAGCUCACUGGUCGAGUCGGCCUGCGCGGAAGAUGUAACGGGGCUAAACCAUGCACCGAAGCUGCGGCAGCGACACUAUGUGUUGUUGGGUAGGGGAGCGUUCUGUAAGCCUGUGAAGGUGGCCUGUGAGGGUUGCUGGAGGUAUCAGAAGUGCGAAUGCUGACAUAAGUAACGAUAAAGCGGGUGAAAAGCCCGCUCGCCGGAAGACCAAGGGUUCCUGUCCAACGUUAAUCGGGGCAGGGUGAGUCGACCCCUAAGGCGAGGCCGAAAGGCGUAGUCGAUGGGAAACAGGUUAAUAUUCCUGUACUUGGUGUUACUGCGAAGGGGGGACGGAGAAGGCUAUGUUGGCCGGGCGACGGUUGUCCCGGUUUAAGCGUGUAGGCUGGUUUUCCAGGCAAAUCCGGAAAACCAAGGCUGAGGCGUGAUGACGAGGCACUACGGUGCUGAAGCGACAAAUGCCCUGCUUCCAGGAAAAGCCUCUAAGCAUCAGGUAACAUCAAAUCGUACCCCAAACCGACACAGGUGGUCAGGUAGAGAAUACCAAGGCGCUUGAGAGAACUCGGGUGAAGGAACUAGGCAAAAUGGUGCCGUAACUUCGGGAGAAGGCACGCUGAUAUGUAGGUGAAGCGACUUGCUCGUGGAGCUGAAAUCAGUCGAAGAUACCAGCUGGCUGCAACUGUUUAUUAAAAACACAGCACUGUGCAAACACGAAAGUGGACGUAUACGGUGUGACGCCUGCCCGGUGCCGGAAGGUUAAUUGAUGGGGUUAGCGGUAACGCGAAGCUCUUGAUCGAAGCCCCGGUAAACGGCGGCCGUAACUAUAACGGUCCUAAGGUAGCGAAAUUCCUUGUCGGGUAAGUUCCGACCUGCACGAAUGGCGUAAUGAUGGCCAGGCUGUCUCCACCCGAGACUCAGUGAAAUUGAACUCGCUGUGAAGAUGCAGUGUACCCGCGGCAAGACGGAAAGACCCCGUGAACCUUUACUAUAGCUUGACACUGAACAUUGAGCCUUGAUGUGUAGGAUAGGUGGGAGGCUUUGAAGUGUGGACGCCAGUCUGCAUGGAGCCGACCUUGAAAUACCACCCUUUAAUGUUUGAUGUUCUAACGUUGGCCCGUAAUCCGGGUUGCGGACAGUGUCUGGUGGGUAGUUUGACUGGGGCGGUCUCCUCCUAAAGAGUAACGGAGGAGCACGAAGGUUGGCUAAUCCUGGUCGGACAUCAGGAGGUUAGUGCAAUGGCAUAAGCCAGCUUGACUGCGAGCGUGACGGCGCGAGCAGGUGCGAAAGCAGGUCAUAGUGAUCCGGUGGUUCUGAAUGGAAGGGCCAUCGCUCAACGGAUAAAAGGUACUCCGGGGAUAACAGGCUGAUACCGCCCAAGAGUUCAUAUCGACGGCGGUGUUUGGCACCUCGAUGUCGGCUCAUCACAUCCUGGGGCUGAAGUAGGUCCCAAGGGUAUGGCUGUUCGCCAUUUAAAGUGGUACGCGAGCUGGGUUUAGAACGUCGUGAGACAGUUCGGUCCCUAUCUGCCGUGGGCGCUGGAGAACUGAGGGGGGCUGCUCCUAGUACGAGAGGACCGGAGUGGACGCAUCACUGGUGUUCGGGUUGUCAUGCCAAUGGCACUGCCCGGUAGCUAAAUGCGGAAGAGAUAAGUGCUGAAAGCAUCUAAGCACGAAACUUGCCCCGAGAUGAGUUCUCCCUGACUCCUUGAGAGUCCUGAAGGAACGUUGAAGACGACGACGUUGAUAGGCCGGGUGUGUAAGCGCAGCGAUGCGUUGAGCUAACCGGUACUAAUGAACCGUGAGGCUUAACCUU
This 2243-nucleotide ribosomal RNA is filed under the name Escherichia coli. Its description in RNAcentral is "partial 23S ribosomal RNA". It matches the Rfam family "Bacterial large subunit ribosomal RNA", at positions 706 to 2925 of the family's 2925-position model. Lineage: Bacteria; Pseudomonadati; Pseudomonadota; Gammaproteobacteria; Enterobacterales; Enterobacteriaceae. RNAcentral also lists the same sequence under 1 other name. The record is from RNAcentral.